Carica papaya (papaya) is the source of this 877-nucleotide non-coding RNA. The record is from RefSeq and is a predicted model, not a curated record. Lineage: Eukaryota; Viridiplantae; Streptophyta; Magnoliopsida; Brassicales; Caricaceae.
CACUUCUUUUUGGGCAUUGGUUGAGUAUACUUAUUUCUUGGUUAUUUUAAAUUACAGUUUAACUAUCUUUGAAGAUUAGAUCUUUACAUCAGUUAUCUCUAUUUUUCUUUUCUUGAAGUGAAUACUCUGUUUCUGAUAAUUUUUGUGUUAUAAACAAGUUCCAACAUUAUAGUAUGUCAUUCUUGGUAGCUCUCUGCUCAUGCCCACUUUCUUUUUUUUUUCCAGGGAACUGCAUAUGCUCACUUAUGCUUGUUUGAGUUGCCAUUUACUAUUAUUUAGGAUAUUGAAUUUAUCUUUGUCAUCUCUCUUCCUUCAUUCUUCAUCAUUCUCCUAAUAAAUGAAUGCUUUUUUUCCUUCCUGAGAGAUUUUAAUGUACAAUACAGAUUUUGCACACUGUAAAUAUAUCAUUGCCGCUUUUACUUUGACAUAAUGCAAAGUUUUGUGUUGACAAUUUACGAGGUUUCCCACCGCAGAAGAUAUGAAGCAAAGUCAUAGUUUUUAACCAGUCGGUUCUACUAUUUCAUGUGUUGAUGUAGACAAGUGCGAUUGUUACCACUGCAGUGUCUACCACACCAAAAUUACCAUCUGAGAUCACUGGAAGACUGUUGAAGAGAUCAUAAAGGAGUGGAAUGCAGAGCUACAGGCGUGUACUGGGAAAUUCCGAAAGCAAGCUACUGCAAUAGCUGAGUGGGAUAAACGUAUCUUGCAGAAUCGAGAUGUUCUUCUGAGGCUUGAGAUUGAAGUGGCAAAAGUAGUGGAGACCCAAGCCAGCCUGGAGCGGCAGCUAGAGUUAAUUGAGACUCAUCAACAAGAGGUUAACAAGGCAUUGCAAAGUAUGGAAGAAGAAGCUGAGCGUAUCUACAAGGGUGAACGUGGA